GCGCCCUUAGCUUAAUUGGAUAGAGCAUCUGACUACGGAUCAGAAGGUUCGGGGUUCGAGUCCCUGAGGGCGCG
Molecule: transfer RNA, 74 nt
Filed under: Bacteroidota bacterium
Lineage: Bacteria; Pseudomonadati; Bacteroidota
Also listed under: 1 other name
Description: tRNA-Arg
Rfam family: tRNA
About the family: Transfer RNA (tRNA) molecules are approximately 80 nucleotides in length.
Source: RNAcentral